RNAcentral lists this long non-coding RNA (330 nucleotides) under Pelusios castaneus (West African mud turtle). RNAcentral describes it as "lncRNA (ENSPCEG00000015494.1)". The record is from RNAcentral. Lineage: Eukaryota; Metazoa; Chordata; Testudines; Pelomedusidae.
GCAGUUUAUGACUGCUGUGUACCCUCCAUACAUAUUGGCUUUUCCUUCCUAGAUCUAUAUAGAGCUAGAUCUGCGAUACCAGCCUCCUGAUGGUUCAGCAGGUACAUGGGUCGAAGAGGAUUUUGUCUACCAGAUGAAAGACAGCUCAGAGUUAAUCAUCCGCAAUGUUGGAUUUGAGGAGCUGCCGCCAGCAGAUGUGAAGCGAGCUCAGGACUUGGAUAAGAAGGCCACGGCGCUGGGCCGGAAGCUCGUGAAGGGCCUGGAGACUGACGAGGAGGAGGACGAUUAUGACGAUGAGUGCGAUAUGGAGUUCUUGGGCAUCGUCUUCAG